GUGGUCGUUGUCCAAUGGCAGGACGUCAGAUUGUGGCUCUGAAAAUGAGAGUUCGAUUCUCUUCGGUCACC
This 71-nucleotide transfer RNA is filed under the name Ruminococcus sp. RNAcentral describes it as "tRNA-His". It matches the Rfam family "tRNA". Rfam says of the family: Transfer RNA (tRNA) molecules are approximately 80 nucleotides in length. The record is from RNAcentral. Lineage: Bacteria; Bacillati; Bacillota; Clostridia; Eubacteriales; Oscillospiraceae.